GAGACCGACAGGAACCGCGAAACGCGCCGGCGGCCGCCCAGAUCCCCGCCGCGCAGCUUGCCGCCGCGUUCGACGAGGGAGCCGGGGCAAGCAAGCCUGCCUAUAGCAUAUAGAGAGACUGGUUCGGGGAUGCGGGCCAGUGGCGCGGCAACGUCGCGGGUAGUGCAGCGGACGCGCAUCUCUACGACGACCCGGAUGCCGCCGCCAUCCCGGCGCGCCUCGACUCCCGCUUCCACGGCGAGAAGGUCGACGCUCAUGCGCCUCCACGCCCUCAUCUAGCAGGGCUUCUACGUCGCUCACCUCUUCCCGCAGCACCAGGCGGUCAAGAACGUGCCGGCAUGGUUGAUCGAGGUGAAGAAGCUCCUCCACCUUUACCUGUUCCACCACGCCGAGAAGUUUAAAUCGGUGUGUAAGUGAAGGUGUAUUUCUCCUUCACGCCUUCGACGUCGACCCCCUUCCCCCUGGUGUAGUACUAUUUAAUCAGGCAGACCCGUUCUGGCCCACAAUGCCAUUUCUCUCUUUCUAAAAUCCAGGAAAUCAGUAUCUUUCAAAAGAUUCAAGGACGUUCGAGGAGUGACCAAAACCAUUGAAAACUUUGCUGAGCGAGGCAAGCAAUCUACUUUGAUCAUGUUGAACCCAUAUUUGCAUUACACUUAUAAUUAAUUUUCAUGCAUAAAUUAUUGUUUACUAGUAUUGCUAUGUUAAGUAAAUUAUCUAGGGUUUAGCUAUGCCAUAUGUCCUUAAUAUUGAACACCCUUUGACAUUCUUAUGCUAAGUUAAUUAGCUAGGGUUUAGCUAUCCUCUAUGUGCUUGAUAUUGACACCCUCCUUUGACAUUCUUAAAACCCCUCCUUUCUAACCAUGUAGUGGUCACAAAUAAAUGUGCGUCAUAUGUGCAAGUUUAAUAGUAAUCCUUAGCCAUGCUAGUCGUGUAAAUCAUAGGACUUGGGAAGAAUCUUUAUUACUCAUAAAUGUUUUACAAAAACCCAAGGGUGUCACUAAUGCCCAUGGGAUGAUUCUGAAAAUAAGGUUUUACAAAAUGGAGAUGAAGUGGAGAUUUAGUUACGUGAUUGCGAUCUUGACGAGAUAGUCAAAGAUGUUCGGUGGAUUAUGAAAAUUUAUGUCUAGUAAAUGAGCAUGGUGGUUAUUAUAUUGGCGGAUAAAUGGAUCUUUAAUGAACUUGAAGCAAUUUGGGUUUAGUUAGGCGAUUAUGAUCUUGAACCAAAUUUUAUGGUGGAUUACGAGAUUUUGAUGCAGUUCAUUGUGAUCUUGAGGAGACAGUCAAAGAUGUUCGGUGGAUUAAUUAAUCUUGGACAAUUUGGAUUUAGUUAGGUGAUUGUGAUAUUGAACCGUAUUUCAUGAUGGAUUAUGAGAUUUUAGGUGGAUUUUGUUACGUGAUUUAAUCUUGAGAAGAUAGUCUAAAAUGUCCGGUUGUUAUGAGAGUUUAGGUAUGGUAGAUGAGCAUGAUGAUUAUUAUGUUGGUGGAUAUAUAGAUCUUUAAUUUUGUUUGGAACAUUUUGGAUUUAGUUAAGUGAUUGUGAUCUUAAACCAAAUUUCACGGUGGAUUAUGAGGUUUUGGUUGGAAUUAGUUAGGUGAGUGUGAUCUUGACGAGCUAGUAAAAAAUGUUUGGUGGAUUAUGUGAAUUUAGGUCUAGUAGGUGAGCAUGGUGGUAAUUAUAUCGGUUAAGUAAGUAAUUUUUUAGUAAACUUGAGAAAAUUUGGAUUUAGUUAGGAAAUUGUGAUCUUGAACCAAAUUUCAUGGGGGAUUACAAGAUUUUAGAUGGAUUUAGUCAGUUGAUUGUGAUCUCGAGGAGAUACUUAAGAUUUUUGAUGGAUUAAUUAACCUAGAACAAUUUGAAUUUAGUUAGGUUAUUGUGAUAUUGAACCGAAUUCCACGAUGAUUUAUGUGAUUUUAGGUGGAUUUAGUUAAGUUAUUAUGAUCUUGAGAAGAUGGUCAAAGAUGUUAGGUGGAUCUUAAGAUUUUAGGUCUGGUACGUGAGCAUGGUGACUAUUAUAUUGGUGGAUAAAUAGACCUUUAAUUUAGUUUGAAACAAUUUAAAUUUAGUUAGAUGAUUGUGAUCUUUUAAGCAAACUCACGGUGGAUUUUGAUGUUUCGGUUAGAUUUAGUUAGGUGAUUGUGAUCCUGACGCAAUAAUCAAUGAUGUUCGAUGGAUUAUGUGAGAAUUUAUGUCUAGUAAGUGAGCAUGGUGGUUAUUAUAUUGGUGGCUCAAUAGAUUUUUAACAAAUUUGGAUUUAGUUAGGCGAUUGUGAUUUUGAACCAAAUUUCAUGGUGAAUUACAGGAUUUUAAAUGGAUUUAAUUAGUUGAUUGAGAUCUUGAGGAGAUAGUCCAAGAUGUUCGGUUGAUUAAUUAAUCUUUUUUUAAUACAGUACAGACGCAAGCGCUCAUACAAACGGGCAUACACUCAUCCCUAUGAAUGCGCACACACACACCCUAUCCCUAUGAGCACCUUCGAGAGACUGAGCCAGCAUAUCAUCUUGAGAUUUUACGAAGUUGCCGUAGGUGCCUCUUAGUCGACGUGAACAAUUUGAAGUUAGUUCGGGGAUUGUGAUAUUGAACCAAAUUUCUCGGUGAUUUAUUUGAUUUGAAGUGGAUUUAGUUAGGUGAUUGUGUUUUGAGAAGAUAGUCAAAAUGCUUGAUGGAUUAUGAGAUUUUAGUUAUGGUAAUGAGCAUGGUGAUUAGGUUUUGGUUGGAUUUAGUUAGGUGAUUGGGAUCAUGACGAGCUAGUAAAAGAUGUAAGGUAGAUUAUGUGAAUUUAGGUCUAGUAGGUGAGCAUUUUGGUUAUUAUAUUGGUGGAUAAAUGGAUUUUUAGAAAACUUAGAAAAAUUUGGAUUUAGUUAGGCGAUUGUGAUCUUGAACCAAAUUUUAUAGUGGAUUAUGAGAUUUCUAAUGGAUUAGUUAGUUGAUUGUGAUCUUGAGGAGAUAGCUAAAGAUAUUCGGUGUAUUAAUUAAUCUUUAACAAUUUGGAUUUAGCUAGGUGAUUGUGAUAUUGACUAAAUUUCUCUGUGAUUUAUGAGAUUUUAGUUGGAUUUAGUUAGGUGAUUGUGUCUUGAGAAAAUAAUCAAAGAUGUUUGGUGGAUUAUAAGAUUUUGGGUCUAAUAACUGAGCAUGGUGAUUAUUAUAUUGGUGGAUAAACAAAUAUUUAAUUUAGUUUGAAACUGUUUGGAUUUAGUUCGGUGAUUAUGAUCUUUUAACCUAAUUUUACGGUGGAUUAUAUGGUUUUGGUUGGAUUUAGUUAUGUGAUUGUGAUCUUGACAAGCUAGUAAAAGAUGUUCGGUGGAUUAUGUGAAUUUAGGUCUAGUAGGUGAGCAUAUUGAUUACUAUAUUGGUGGAUAGAGAUGAGGGCCACACAAGUGACUCAAGGCGAUGAUGCCACUAAUGAAAAUAGUUGGUAAACAAGGCAAAAGAGGAGAGAGUGGGGUAGUGGCAGCCGAUGGACUUUGAUCCAGCAUCGCACGUGCCUGUGCACUCUUCGUUCCCCGCAGUUCGGCUUGGUGUUCUUGUCCUGUUUGCGGAUUUUGUGUCACGCACUUGAUUAAGCAUCCCACGUUCUCCUAAUGUGUGCCCUUAGCCUUGACGAUAGGUAGCGCCGUGUUCUUGGGUGCGCCCCGUGGGUAAAAUUCAGGUAUGCGUCCAUUGUCCGAGCUCUCGCUCACCAUUGGUGGUGCUUGAGCGUGCGGUCAUGGUGUCGCCCAACAAGGGAACAUAGGAUGUGGGAUCAAGACAAAUCCUCUUAGGAAAUAAAGAAGGCAUUAGAGGUAGAAGAAACCUCAAUCUCAAGGAAGUAGCGACUUCUUUAGUAAACAUGGAGCAAUUUGGAUUUAGUUAGGUGAUAUUGAUCUUGAACAAAUUUCAUGGUGGAAUACGGGAUCUUUCAAUGGAUUUAAUUGACAGUGAUCUUGAGGAGAUAGUCAAAGAUGUCUGGUGCAUUAAUUAAUCUUGAACAAUAUGGUUUUAGUUAGGUGAUUGUGAUAUUGAACCAAAAUUCUCUAUGAUUUAUGAGAUUUUAGUUGAAUUUAGUUAGGUGAUUGUGUCUUGAGCUGAUAAUCAAGGAUGUUUUGUGGAUUAUGAGAUUUUAGGUCUAGUAGAGGAGCAUGGUGAUUAUUGUAUUGGUGGAUAAAUAGAUAUUUAAAUUAAUUUGAAACAAUUUGAAUUUGGUAAGGUGAUUUUGAUUUUUUUAGCCUAAUUUUACGAUGGAUUAUAAGGUUCUGGUUGGAUUUAGUCACGUGAUUGUGCUUUUGACGAGGUAGUAAAAGAUGUUCGAUGAAUUAUGUGAAUUUAGGUCUAGUAGGUGAGCAUGCUGAUUAUUAUAUUAGUGGAUAAGUGAAUCUUUAAUAAAUUUGAAACAAUUUGCAAAUUUUGUUAGAUGAUUGUAACCUUGAACCAAAUUAUAUGGUGGAUUAUGAGAUUUUAUGGACUAGUUAGUUGAUUCUGAUGUUCAGAAGAUAUUCAAAGAUGGUUGGAUUAAUUAAUCUUGAAUAAUUUGGAUUUAGUUAGGUGAUUGUGAUAUUGAACCGAAUUUUACGCCGGAUUAUGAAAUUUUAGGUGAACUUAGUUAGGUGAUUGUGUCUUGAGAAUAGUCAAAGAUGUUUGUUGGACUAUGAGAUUUUAGGUUUAGUAGAUGAGAAUGGUGAUUAUUAUAUUGGUGGAUAAAACAGAUCUUUAGUUUAGUUUGGAACAAUUUUGAUUUAGUUAGGUGAUUGCUAUUUAUCAAACAAAUUCACGAUGGAUUUUGAGGUUUUGUUGGAUUUAGUUAGGUGAUUGUGAUCUCGACGAGUUAGUCAAAGAUGUUUGGUGAAUUAUGUUAACUUAGGUCUAGUAAGUGAGCAUGGUGGUUAUUAUAUUGGUGGAUAAAUGGUCCUUUAGUAAACAUGGAGCAAUUUGGAUGUAGUUAGGCUAUUGUGAUCUUGAAUAAAUUUCAUAGUGGAUUACACGAUUUUUAAUAGAUUUAGUUAGUAGAUUGUGAUCUUGGGGAGAUGUCAAAGAUGUUUGGUGCAUUAAUUAAUCUUAAACAAUUUGGAGUUGAUAGAUGAUUGCGAUAUUGAACCAAAUUCUCUGUGAUUUAUGAGAUUUUAGUUGGAUUUAGUUAGGUGAUUUUGUCUUGAGAUGAUAAUCGAAGAUGUUUGGUGGAUUAUGGAUUUUAGGUCUAAUAACUGAGGAUGGCGAUAUUAUAUUGGUGGAUGAACAUAUAUUUAAUUUAGUUAGGUGAUUGUGAUUUUGACAAGCUAGUAAAAGAUGUUCGGUGGAUUAUGUGAAUUUAGAUCUAGUAGGUGAGCAUGUUGAUUAUAUAUUGGUGGAUAGAGAUGAGGGCCACACAAGUGACUCAAGGCAAUGAUGCCACUACUGAAAAUAACUGGUAAACAAGGCAAAUGAGGAGAGAAUAGGGGUAGUGGCAGCAGAUGGACUUUGAUCCAGCAUCCCACGUGCAUGUACACUCUCCGUUCCUCGUUGUCCGUUUUGGUGUUCUUGUCCUGUUUGCGGAUUUUGUGUUACGCACUUGAUUAAGCAUCCCACGUUCUCUUAAUGUGCGCCCUUAGCCUUGACGAUAGGUAGCGCUGUUUUCUCGAGCGUGUCCCGUGGGUAAAAUUCAGGUAUGCGUCGAUUGUCUGUGCUCUUGCUCGCCAUUGGUGGUGCUUAAGCGUGCGGUCAUGGUGUCGCCCAGCAAGGGAACACGGGAUGUGGGAUCAAGACAACACACAUAACAACCCGUGACCAGGCAACGGACACCCGUCCGGACGUUCAGGGAGCGGAGGUGGACACAAAGAUGGAUGUUGAGCUCCAUAGCAGUCUCAAUAGUGUGCUCAUCAGUACGAGCGACACGAGCAGGAAGAUCCUGUAUAUACUCUUAGGAAAUAAAGAAGGCAUUAGGGGUAGAGGAAACCUCAAUAUCAAGGAAGUAGCGACUUCUUUAGUAAACAUGGAGCAAUUUGGAUUUAGUUAGGCGAUUGUGAUCUUGAACAAAUUUCAUGGUGGAUUACGAGAUGUUUCAAUGCAUUUAGUUGAUUGUGAUAUUGAGGAGAUAGUCAAAGAUGUUCGGUAUAUUAAUUAAUCUUGAACAAUAUGGAUUUAGUUAUGUGAUUGUGAUAUUGAACCAAAUUUCUCUGUGAUUUAUGAGAUUUUAAUUGGAUUUAGUUAGGUGAUUGUGUCUUGAGAUGAUAAUCAAAAAUGUUUUGUGGAUCAUGAGAUUUUAGGUCUAGUAGAGGAGGAUGGUGAUUAUUGUAUUGGUGGAUAAAUAUAUAUUUAAAUUAAUUUGGAACAAUUUGAAUUGGUGAGGUGGUUGUGAUCUUUUAACCUAAUUUUACGAUGGAUUAUAAGGUUCUGGUUGGAUUUAGUCAGGUGAUUGUGAUUUUGACGAGGUAGUAAAAGAUGAUCGAUGAAUUAUGUGAAUUUAGGUCUGGUAGGUGAGCAUGUUGAUUAUUAUAUUGGUGGAUAAAGGAAUCUUUAAUAAAUUUGGAACAAUUUGGACUUAGUUAGGUGAUUGUGACCUUGAACCAUAUUUUAUGGUGGAUAAUGAGAUUUUUAUGGAUUAGUUAGUUGAUUAUGAUCUUGAGAAGAUAUUCAAAGAUGGUUGGAUUAAUUAAUCUUGAAUAAUUUGGAUUUAGUUAGGUGAUUGUGAUAUUGAACCGAAUUUUACGCCGGAUUAUGAGAUUUUAGGUGGAUUUAGUUAGGUGAUUGUGUCUUGAGAAUAGUCAAAGAUGUUUGCUGGACUAUGAGAUUUUAGGUUUAGUAGAUGAGAAUGGUGAUUAUUAUAUUGGUGGAUAAAACAGAUCUUUAAUUUAGUUUGGAACAAUUUUGAUUUAGUUAGGUGAUUGCUAUUUUUCAAACAAAUUCACGGUGGAUUUUGAGGUUUUGUUGGAUUUAGUUAGGUGAUUGUGAUCUCGACGAGUUAGUCAAAGAUGUUUGGUGAAUUAUGUUAAUUUAGGUCUAGUAAGUUAGCAUGGUGGUUAUUAUAUUGGUGGAUAAAUGGUCCUUUAGUAAACAUGGAACAAUUUGGAUGUAGUUAGGCUAUUAUGAUCUUGAAUAAAUUUCAUAGUGGAUUACACGAUUUUCAAUAGAUUUAGUUAGUAUAUUGUGAUUUUGGGGAGAUGUCAAAGUUGUUUGGUGGAUUAAUUAAUGUUAAACAAUUUGGAGUUCGUAGAUGAUUGCGAUAUUGAACCAGAUUUCUUUGUGAUUUAUGAGAUUUUAGUUGGGUUUAGUUAGGUGAUUGUGUCUUGAGAUGAUAAUUGAAGAUGUUUGGUGGAUUAUGGAUUUUAGGUCUUAUAACUGAGCAUGGCGAUUAUUAUAUUGAUGGACGAACAUAUAUUUAAUUUAGUCUGAAACGAUUUGGAUUUAGUUAGGUGAUUGUGAUUUUGACAUGCUAGUAAAAGAUGUUCGUUGGAUUAUGUGAAUUUAGGUCUAGUAGGUGAUCAUGUUGAUUAUUAUAUUGGUGGAUAGAGAUGAGGGCCACACAAGUGACUCAAGGCAAUGAUGCCACUACUGAAAAUAACUGGUAAGCAAGGCAAAUGAGGAGAGAAUGGGGGUAGUGGCAGCAGAUGGAGUUUGAUCCAGCAUCCCACGUGCAUGUGCACUCUUCGUUCCUCGUUGUCCGUUUUGGUGUUCUUGUCCUGUUUGCGGAUUUUGUGUCACACACUUGAUUAAGCAUCCCACGUUCUCCUAAUGUGCGCCCUUGGCCUUGAUGAUAGGUAGCGCCGUUAUCGAGCGUGUCCUGUGGGUAAAAUUCAGGUAUGCGUCGAUUGUCUGUGCUCUUGCUUGCCAUUGGUGGUGCUUGAGCGUGCGGUCAUGGUGUCGCCCAGCAAGGGAACACGGGAUGUGGGAUCAAGACAGCACACAUAGCAACCCGUGACCAGGCAACGGCGCCCGUCCGGACGUUCAGGGAGCGGAGGUGGACACAAAGAUGGAUGUUGAGCUCCAUAGCAGUCUCAAUAGUGUGCUCAUCAGUACGAGCGACACGAGCAAGAAGAUCCUGGAUAUACUCCUCUUAGGAAAAAAAGAAGGCAUUAGAGGUAGAGGAAACCUCAAUCUCAAGGAAGUAGCGACUUCUUUAGUAAACAUGGAGCAAUUUGGAUUUAGUUAGGCGAUUGUGAUCUUGAACAAAUUUCAUGGUGGAUUACGAGAUGUUUCAAUGGAUUUAGUUGAUUGUGAUCUUGAGGAGAUAGUCAGAGAUGUUCGGUAUAUUAAUUAAUCAUGAACAAUAUGGAUUUAGUUAUGUGAUUGUGAUAUUGAACCAAAUUUCUCUGUGAUUUAUGAGAUUUUAGUUGGAUUUAGUUAGGUGAUUGUGUCUUGAGAUGAUAAU
Triticum dicoccoides is the source of this 8312-nucleotide long non-coding RNA. RefSeq lists it as uncharacterized. Lineage: Eukaryota; Viridiplantae; Streptophyta; Magnoliopsida; Poales; Poaceae. The transcript has 4 exons. The record is from RefSeq and is a predicted model, not a curated record.